UACAGAGGGGGCAAGCGUUGUUCGGAAUUACUGGGCGUAAAGGGCGCGUAGGCGGCCUGCUAAGUCGAACGUGAAAUCCCCGAGCUCAACUCGGGAACUGCGUCCGAUACUGGCAGGCUUGAAUCCGGGAGAGGGAUGCGGAAUUCCAGGUGUAGCGGUGAAAUGCGCAGAUAUCAGGAGGAACACCGGUGGCGAAGGCGGGUCUCUGGGCAGUAACUGACGCUGAGGAACGAAAGCGUGGGUAGCAAACAGG
Molecule: ribosomal RNA, 253 nt
Filed under: uncultured bacterium
Lineage: Bacteria
Description: partial 16S ribosomal RNA
Rfam family: Bacterial small subunit ribosomal RNA
Source: RNAcentral